RNAcentral lists this long non-coding RNA (1396 nucleotides) under Dromaius novaehollandiae (emu). Its description in RNAcentral is "lncRNA (ENSDNVG00000005513.1)". The record is from RNAcentral. Lineage: Eukaryota; Metazoa; Chordata; Aves; Casuariiformes; Dromaiidae.
CUAAAAUGGCGGCGGGGCGCCCGCCCCUGGGGCAGCUGGGAGGGCUGYGUGCCUGGGAGCGGGCUCCCGCUGAGGCCCCGCGCUCGUCCCGUCGCGCACCUGCGACGGGCCUGGCYCUCCUUGGCCCAAGGGAGCUCGCGGGGAUUCGGAUUCGGGUUCGGGUUCGGGUGCUGGAGCUCCCUCUUCCUUCCUUCUCUGCCUUGUUCAGUAUCUAGCUCCUGAAAGGUGUCCUGGCUCCUGUGCUGCCCUCCCUCCGUGGCAGCCCUCUUCCUCCCUGAUGUGUUUGGUUUCUUUAUAUUCUUCUUCCUCUUUUAAUGUGUCAUGUUUCUUUCAGACCUCAGUUUUCCCUUAAGAGCCCUUUYCCCACCCAUUCUGUUGUCCUUGCAGAGCUUCAGCCACCAGUCUUAUCUUCUGUUUAAGCAAAAGUUCUCAAUAUUGUUCCAAGAUUUUUGGGUGCCUCACACCUCAGUUCUAUCUCCUUGUGCUUUGUAGUCCCAGACAGUGAUUUUGUGUGUGUGUGUGUGUGUGUGUGUGUACCAUACUUGAGGGUAGCUCCACUGUGAGCAUCCUCCCAAAUAACGUUUUCUGGCUCUGCUUUUCUUGUAUUUCUCUGCUCUUUUUGCUCCUGGUGUAAUGUGGCCCUUGGGAUUUCCUUGGUUUCCACCCCAGAGUGUUUUGUCCUCUCCAGAAGUUCCUUCGCCUGGUUGCUUGUAGAAAGAUGGAGUCAUAUUUGGUAUUUCACUCCCUAGGAGUUACCUUCAUUGUGGUUAGCACACUCAGCCCGCUACCGUUCAAUCACAUCCAACCAGUGCAGCAAGCCAUACGAUACAGCAAACUCCUGCAUGGCAAAUUUUAUGUUCCCACUGUCAGGCCAAUACAGCUGUUGCCUCUGGAGCAUGUCAGACACAGCGGGGACAGGACUAUGGUUAUGGAAGUCAGCAGUGGAAACCUAUUCCCUAGCCUGUCAUAACACCAAAAUUACAGCAACCAGCAUCUGGAAGCAAUUGUGAGAGCAAGUAAUAUUACCAGCCAGUACCUGCUCAGCUGCAGCAUACUGCCAGGGAUUUGUACUACCCACCAAAUGAGUGCUGCUGGAGCCCAGCGUUCAUGUAUUCUGUAUGUAUUGGCUUUAUUUUAAAGCUUGUGCAGUAUGGGUGACUUUAAAUGGGUUCUCGAACRUGUGACACUUAAACACUAGGGCCACCACUACUUCCUGUGGUCAUGGAAGGGGAUGAGCCUCCUACUCAGAAUUUCAUUCUGGAAAAGCCUCUUCCUCUCCACUAAUAGAAAGAGAAUAACUUCUUCAGUCUGUUUCAUGCCAAGUGUUAAAUUCUCCUAAACAGGCUAUUUUUAAUGCAUUUUCUAAAACCGAAAAUAAACUCUGAAAUCAUUUUCA